Molecule: ribosomal RNA, 468 nt
Filed under: uncultured bacterium
Lineage: Bacteria
Description: partial 16S ribosomal RNA
Rfam family: Bacterial small subunit ribosomal RNA
Source: RNAcentral
GACGAACGCUGGCGGCGUGCUUAACACAUGCAAGUCGAACGGAAAGGCCCUGUUUUUGUGGCUUGCUCGAGUGGCGAGUGGGUGAGACACAAGUGAGUAACCCGUCACUGCCUUUGGGAUAACUUAAGGAAGCGGGGGCUCAUAAUGGAUAGGCGCUCCUGCUGCUUGGUGUGGGUUGGAUAGUUUCGGCGGUUGGGGAUGGACUCGCGGCUUAUCAGCUUGUUGGUGGGGUAGUGGCUUACCAAGGCUUUGACGGCUAGCCGGCCUGAGCGGGUGACCGGCCACAUUGGGACUGAGAUACGGCCCAGACUCCUACGGGAGGCAGCAGUGGGGAAUAUUGCACAAUGGGCGGAAGCCUGAUGCAGCAACGCCGCGUGCGGGAUGACGGCCUUCGGGUUGUAAACCGCUUUCGCCUGUGACGAAGCGUGAGUGACGGUAAUGGGUAAAGAAGCACCGGCUAACUACGUG